CCUACGGGAGGCAGCAGUGGGGAAUAUUGCACAAUGGGCGCAAGCCUGAUGCAGCAACGCCGCGUGAGGGACGACGGCCUUCGGGUUGUAAACCUCUUUUAGCAGGGAAGAAGCGAAAGUGACGGUACCUGCAGAAAAAGCACCGGCUAACUACGUGCCAGCAGCCGCGGUAAUACGUAGGGUGCAAGCGUUGUCCGGAAUUAUUGGGCGUAAAGAGCUCGUAGGCGGUUUGUCGCGUCUGCUGUGAAAACGCGAGGCUCAACCUCGCGCCUGCAGUGGGUACGGGCAAACUAGAGUGCGGUAGGGGAGAUUGGAAUUCCUGGUGUAGCGGUGGAAUGCGCAGAUAUCAGGAGGAACACCAAUGGCGAAGGCAGAUCUCUGGGCCGUAACUGACGCUGAGGAGCGAAAGCAUGGGGAGCGAACAGGAUUAGAUACCCUGGUAGUCCAUGCCGUAAACGUUGGGAACUAGAUGUAGGGACCAUUCCACGGUUUCUGCGUCGCAGCUAACGCAUUAAGUUCCCCGCCUGGGGAGUACGGUCGCAAGACUAAAACUCAAAGGAAUUGACGG
Molecule: ribosomal RNA, 568 nt
Filed under: uncultured Microcella sp.
Lineage: Bacteria; Bacillati; Actinomycetota; Actinomycetes; Micrococcales; Microbacteriaceae
Description: bacterial SSU rRNA
Rfam family: Bacterial small subunit ribosomal RNA
Source: RNAcentral